UAUCUUAACUGGCAGGGGAGAUACCAUGAUCAUAAAGGUAGAUUUUCCAGGGUGAGGCUUAUCCAUUGUACUUCAGAUGUGCUGACCCCUGGAAUUUCCCCAAAUGCAGGAAACUUGACUGCAUAGUUUGUGGUGGUGGGGGACUGCGUUAAUGCUGUCCCCGG
Molecule: small nuclear RNA, 164 nt
Organism: Cricetulus griseus (Chinese hamster)
Lineage: Eukaryota; Metazoa; Chordata; Mammalia; Rodentia; Cricetidae
Gene: U1
Rfam family: U1 spliceosomal RNA
About the family: U1 is a small nuclear RNA (snRNA) component of the spliceosome (involved in pre-mRNA splicing). Its 5' end forms complementary base pairs with the 5' splice junction, thus defining the 5' donor site of an intron.
Source: Ensembl